AUUGAACGCUGGCGGCCGGCUUAACACAUGCAAGUCGAGCGAGCGGCGGACGGGUGAGUAAUGUCUGGGAACCUGCCUGAUGGGGGGGGACAACUACUGGAAACGGUAACUCAUACCGCAUACCAUCAGAUGUGCCCAGAUGGGAUUAGCUAGUGGGUGGGGUAAUGUCUCCCCUAGCCGACGAUCCCUAGCUGGUCUGAGAGUAUGACCAGCCACACUGAAACUGAGACACGGUCCAGACUCCUACGGGAGGCAGCAGUGGGGAAUAUUGCAGAAUGGGCGCAAGCCUGAUGCAGCCAUGCCGCGUGUGGGAAGAAGGCCUUCGGGUUGUAAAGCACUUGCAGCGAGGAGGCGUUACGCGCAGAAGAAGCACCGGCUAACUCCGUGCCAGCAGCCGCGGUAAUUC
RNAcentral lists this ribosomal RNA (406 nucleotides) under uncultured bacterium. Its description in RNAcentral is "partial 16S ribosomal RNA". It matches the Rfam family "Bacterial small subunit ribosomal RNA", at positions 30 to 526 of the family's 1533-position model. The record is from RNAcentral.